RNAcentral lists this ribosomal RNA (468 nucleotides) under uncultured bacterium. RNAcentral describes it as "partial 16S ribosomal RNA". It matches the Rfam family "Bacterial small subunit ribosomal RNA", at positions 28 to 507 of the family's 1533-position model. The record is from RNAcentral.
GACGAACGCUGGCGGCGUGCUUAACACAUGCAAGUCGAACGGAAAGGCCCUGCUCUUGUGGGGUGCUCGUGUGGCGAACGGGUGAGUAACACGUGAGUAACCUGCCCUUGACUUUGGGAUAACUUCAGGAAACUGGGGCUCAUACCGGAUAGGAGCUCCUGCUGCAUGGUGGGGGUUGGAAAGUUUCGGCGGUUGGGGAUGGACUCGCGGCUUAUCAGCUUGUUGGUGGGGUAGUGGCUUACCAAGGCUUUGACGGGUAGCCGGCCUGAGAGGGUGACCGGCCACAUGGGGACUAAGAUACGGCCCAGACUCCUACGGGAGGCAGCAGUGGGGAAUAUUGCACAAUGGGCGGAAGCCUGAUGCAGCAACGCCGCGUGCGGGAUGACGUCCUUCGGGUGGUAAACCGCUUUCGCCGGUGACGAAGCGUGAGUGACGGUAAUGGAUAAAGAAGCACCGGCUAACUACGUG